Molecule: ribosomal RNA, 454 nt
Filed under: uncultured bacterium
Lineage: Bacteria
Description: partial 16S ribosomal RNA
Rfam family: Bacterial small subunit ribosomal RNA
Source: RNAcentral
GAUGAACGCUGCCAGAAUGCUUAACACAUGCAAGUCCACUUGAACUUCGGUUUGGGUGGCGGACGGGUGAGUAACGCGUAAAGAACUUGCCUCACAGAUAGGGACAACAUUUGGAAACGAAUGCUAAUACCUGAUAUUAUGAUUAUAUGGCAUCGUAUAAUUAUGAAAGCUAUAUGCGCUGUGAGAGAGCUUUGCGUCCCAUUAGCUAGUUGGAGAGGUAACGGCUCACCAAGGCGAUGAUGGGUAGCCGGCCUGAGAGGGUGAUCGGCCACAAGGGGACUGAGACACGGCCCUUACUCCUACGGGAGGCAGCAGUGGGGAAUAUUGGACAAUGGACCAAGAGUCUGAUCCAGCAAUUCUGUGUGCACGAUGAAGUUUUUCGGAAUGUAAAGUGCUUUCAGUUGGGAAGAAAAAAAUGACGGUACCAACAGAAGAAGUGACGGCUAAAUACGUG